GAUGAACGCUGGCGGCGUGCCUAAUACAUGCAAGUCGAGCGAACAGACGAGGAGCUUGCUCCUCUGACGUUAGCGGCGGACGGGUGAGUAACACGUGGAUAACCUACCUAUAAGACUGGGAUAACUUCGGGAAACCGGAGCUAAUACCGGAUAAUAUAUUGAACCGCAUGGUUCAAUAGUGAAAGACGGUUUUGCUGUCACUUAUAGAUGGAUCCGCGCCGCAUUAGCUAGUUGGUAAGGUAACGGCUUACCAAGGCGACGAUGCGUAGCCGACCUGAGAGGGGGAUCGCCCAAACGGGAACUGAGCAGCGGUCCAGACCCCUACGGGAGGCAGCAGUGGGGAAUCUGCCGCAAUGGGCGAAACCCGGACGGGGCACCGCGGGGGGGGUGAAGAAGUUUUUCGGUUCGUAAACCCUUUUUAUUGGGGAAAAAAAAAUGUGUAAGAAACUAUGCAGUUCUUGACGGUACCAAAUAAGAAAGCCACGGCUAACUACGG
RNAcentral lists this ribosomal RNA (496 nucleotides) under uncultured bacterium. RNAcentral's name for it is "partial 16S ribosomal RNA". It matches the Rfam family "Bacterial small subunit ribosomal RNA", at positions 28 to 506 of the family's 1533-position model. The record is from RNAcentral.